This 76-nucleotide transfer RNA is filed under the name Dasya binghamiae. RNAcentral's name for it is "tRNA-Gly". It matches the Rfam family "tRNA". Rfam says of the family: Transfer RNA (tRNA) molecules are approximately 80 nucleotides in length. Their secondary structure includes four short double-helical elements and three loops (D, anti-codon, and T loops). Lineage: Eukaryota; Rhodophyta; Florideophyceae; Ceramiales; Dasyaceae. The record is from RNAcentral.
GCGAAUAUAGAUAAAUUAAGGUAAAAUCAUUAGUUUUCCAAACUAACAUUUAGGAGUUCGAGUCUCCUUAUUCGCU